RNAcentral lists this ribosomal RNA (461 nucleotides) under uncultured bacterium. RNAcentral's name for it is "partial 16S ribosomal RNA". It matches the Rfam family "Bacterial small subunit ribosomal RNA", at positions 338 to 795 of the family's 1533-position model. The record is from RNAcentral.
CCUACGGGGGGCUGCAGUGAGGAAUAUUGGUCAAUGGGCGCGAGCCUGAACCAGCCAAGUCGCGUGAGGGAGGACGGCCCUACGGGUUGUAAACCUCUUUUGCCGGGGAGCAAAGGGCGCCACGUGUGGCGUCACUGAGAGUACCCGGAGAAAAAGCAUCGGCUAACUCCGUGCCAGCAGCCGCGGUAAUACGGAGGAUGCGAGCGUUAUCCGGAUUUAUUGGGUUUAAAGGGUGCGUAGGCGGACCGUUAAGUCAGUUGUGAAAGUUUGCGGCUCAACCGUAAAAUUGCAAUUGAUACUGGCAGUCUUGAGUGCAGUUGAGGUAGGCGGAAUUCGUGGUGUAGCGGUGACAUGCUUAGAUAUCACGAAGAACUCCGAUUGCGAAGGCAGCUUACUAAACUGCCACUGACAUUGAUGCUCGAAAGUGUGGGUAUCAAACAGGAUUAGAUACCCUUGUAGUC